AACGAACGCUGGCGGCAUGCCUAACACAUGCAAGUCGAACGAGAUCUUCGGGUCUAGUGGCGCACGGGUGCGUAACGCGUGGGAAUCUGCCCUUCGGUUCGGAAUAACAGUUGGAAACGACUGCUAAUACCGGAUGAUGACGAAAGUCCAAAGAUUUAUCGCCAGAGGAUGAGCCCGCGUAGGAUUAGCUAGUUGGUGUGGUAAAGGCGCACCAAGGCGACGAUCCUUAGCUGGUCUGAGAGGAUGAUCAGCCACACUGGGACUGAGACACAGCCCAGACUCCUACGGGAGGCAGCAGUGGGGAAGAUUGGACAAUGGGCGAAAGCCUGAUCCAGCAAUGCCGCGUGAGUAAUGAAGGCCUUAGGGUUGUAAAGCUCUUUUACCCGGGAUGAUAAUGACAGUACCGGGAGAAUAAGCUCCGGCUAACUCCGUGCCAGCCGCCGCAGUAA
Molecule: ribosomal RNA, 449 nt
Filed under: uncultured bacterium
Lineage: Bacteria
Description: partial 16S ribosomal RNA
Rfam family: Bacterial small subunit ribosomal RNA
Source: RNAcentral